RNAcentral lists this ribosomal RNA (480 nucleotides) under uncultured bacterium. Its description in RNAcentral is "partial 16S ribosomal RNA". It matches the Rfam family "Bacterial small subunit ribosomal RNA", at positions 28 to 507 of the family's 1533-position model. The record is from RNAcentral.
GACGAACGCUGGCGGCGUGCUUAACACAUGCAAGUCGAACGAUGAAGACAAGAAUUGAAGCUUCGGCAGACAUUCAUUUCGGAUUAGUGGCAGACGGGUGAGUAACGCGUGAGCAACCUACCUCUCCCAAAGGGAUAGCCUCGGGAAACCGGGACUAAUACCAUAUAACAUUUCCACGAAGCAUUUCGAUGCAAUCAAAGCUACGGCGGUAAGAGAUGGGCUCGCGUCUCCUUAACCAGAUGGUGAGGUAACGGCUCACCAUAGCAACGAUGGGUAGCCGACCUGAGAGAGUGAACGGUCACACUGGAACUGAGACACGGUCCAGACUCAUACGGGAGGCAGCAGUGGGGAAUAUUGCACAAUGGAGGGAACUCUGAUGCAGCGACGCCGCGUGAGUGAUGAAGAGAUUCGUUGCGUAAGACUCUGUUCUAUGGGAAGAAAAGGACUGUACCAUAGGAAAAAGCACCGGCUAAAUACGUG